This 251-nucleotide ribosomal RNA is filed under the name uncultured bacterium. Its description in RNAcentral is "partial 16S ribosomal RNA". It matches the Rfam family "Bacterial small subunit ribosomal RNA", at positions 524 to 776 of the family's 1533-position model. The record is from RNAcentral.
UACGGAGGGGGCUAGCGUUGUUCGGAAUUACUGGGCGUAAAGCGCACGUAGGCGGCUUGGUAUGUCGGGUGUGAAAUCCCCGGGCUCAACCUGGGAACUGCAUCCGAAACUGCCUUGCUAGAGUAUGGGAGAGGGAAGUGGAAUUUCCGGUGUAGCGGUGAAAUGCGUAGAUAUCGGAAGGAACAUCAGUGGCGAAGGCGACUUCCUGGACCAAUACUGACGCUCAGGUGCGAAAGCGUGGGAGCAACAGG